RNAcentral lists this long non-coding RNA (3454 nucleotides) under Marmota monax (woodchuck). Lineage: Eukaryota; Metazoa; Chordata; Mammalia; Rodentia; Sciuridae. The record is from RNAcentral.
CAUCCUCCAGAUAAGCUCCAGAAGUUCAAGUGUUCAUUCUGUGUUGCUGAAAUGCCUUCUUCUCCUUCCAAAGUCUGAGUUUCUGGCACUGUAAACUGAUGAGAGGCACAGAAGACUAAAAUUCCCCAGCAGGUAUGACUUUAGAUUCUCUUCCUCUCUCCACUCUGAGUACAAUCCACAGGCCAGAGCCUUGCUUUUCAGCUCUCCAUAGUCCUUGGGUUUUUCUGAGUAAUAACUGGGUGCUCAGGACAAAUACCUGCAUUCUACUUGAAGAUAGAAAAAUUCUGGCUAACUUUCUCUCACUUCUUUGGGCUUGAACAUUUAUUUGUAUUCCAAAUUUGAAGAGAGGAAAAUGCAGUACACUAUAGUUUUAUGUUUUUGUUUUGCUUUUUUAAAUUACAGGUUGAACAUCCCCCAUGGGAAAAUCCACAAUCUAAAGUGCCCCCAAUGGCUGCACCUUUGAUCCAGCUAUCCCACUCCUUGGUCUAUAAACAAAGGACUUAAAAACAGUAUACUACAGGGACACAGCCACAUCAAUGUUUAUAGCAGCAUAAUUGACAAUAGCUAAAUUGUGGAACCAACCUAGAUACACUUCAACAGAUGAAUGGAUAAAGAAAAUGUGGUAUAUAUACACAAUGGAAUAUUACUCGGCAUUAAAAGGGAAUAAAAUCAUGGCAUUUGUCGGUAAAUGGAUGGAGUUGGAGAAUAUAAUGCUAAGUGAAGUAAGCCAAUCCAAAAAAAAAAAAAUGCCAAUUGUUUUCUCUGAUAUAAGGAGGCUGAUUCAUAAUGGGAAUGGGUGGGGGGCAGCAUGGAAGGAUAGACGAACUUUAGAUAGGGUUAAGGGGUGGGAGGGGGCAGGGAGGGGGCAUGGAAAGUAGAAAAGACAGUGGAAUGAGACGGACAUCAUUACCCUAAGUACUUGUAUGAAAACAUGCAUGGUGUGACUCUACUUUGUAUACAACUAGAGACAUGCAAAAUUGUGCUCUAUUUGUGUAAUAUGAAUUGAAUUGCAUUCUGCUGUCAUAUAUAACAAAUUAGAAUAAAUAAAAUAAAAACAUUUUAGUUGUAGAUGAACACACACACACACAAAAUAAAAAUAAAGUGCCCCCAAAUCUAAACUUUUUGAAUGCUCAAAUGACACAAGUAAAAAAUGCCCUACCAGGAAACUUUUUUACAUGUGUGAAAUUAUUAAAGAUAUUCUAUAAAAUCACCUUCCGGUUAUAUGUAUAAGGUUUACAUAAAACAUAAAUGAAUGUCGUGUUUAGAAUGGGGCCCCCAUCCCCAAGAUAUCUCAUUAUGGGUAUGCACACACUCCCCAAUCCGAAAAGAAUCUGAAAUCUGAAAUUCUUCUCUUCCCAUGAAUGUCAGAUAAGGGAUGCUUAACCAGUAUUAUCAAAUUUUUUUUUUUUCAAUUUUGGUGAAAGAUACUUAGUAUAAAAUUGACUAACUCAACCAUUUUUCGGCAUAGAGUUCUACAGUGUUAAGUAAUCACAGUGCUAGGCAGCUGCCACCACCACCAUCUGUAGGAGUUCUUCACCUGCAAAACAAACUACACCCCAUUAAACAAUAACUCCAAUUGCUUCCUCCCCCAGCCCCUGGUAAUCUCUAGUUGGCUUCCUCUCUUUACUCCAGGUACCUCACGUAAGUGGAAUCAUACAUUGUUUGUCUAUUUGUGACUGAUGUACUUCACCAGCACAGAAUGCUCACUGAUUUCGAGAACCUACUCCCAGGGGCCUCUGACGGACAGCACCAGAAUGGGUUGAUUGGACUGUGUUUACAAAUGGAUCACAUCAGGAUUUCCACGUUCCUGAGUAAAUCUGGUCAGAACAAAGGGAUGUGUAAAUAGUGUUCUUACUCUCAAAAGGGAUACUUUUUCUUAAUAGGUUUUCAGAAGAAAUAGUACAGCAUAACUGUUCAUGAGGUGUUCAACGAAUGUCCAUUUAAACAAUGACAAAACCCGGAUUUUAGGCUGGUGCUUUCUUGCCAUUUCUGUGACGAGGAGCACAUCAUCCUGGACCGGAAGGAUUUUGAGUCCCUCGAUGUCAUGGUUUUUUACAUUCCUUCUAAAGCUGAGGGACUCCUCGUUUUCUUUGGCUGGACAACCAUUCUUGUUUGGGUAGAAUGUUGGCAGGAUGGAGUUUGGAGAAAUUCAAAUAUAGAACAAGUACUCAUGCCCCUAAGCACUCGGUCAAUGGCAUCCCUCUUCCUUAUUAAAAUUAAUUAAAGCUAUGAAGAGAGUCUAAAGACUCUGAAUGCUCAGAGUUUGCUGAGUAGAAGCUGAAAUUGUCUGUUUAAGGGAGUCUGCCUUCAUAGCAGGAGUAGCUGACAUUUCUUGAAAGAAUAAACAAAAAUGGACAACAAAUGUAUGAAAAGAUGUUCAACAUCUCUAGCAAUCAAGGAAAUUAAAACUACACUAAGAUUUCAUCUCACUGCAGUCAGAAUGGCAGUUAUCAUGAACACAAAUAAUAACAAAUGUUGGUGAGAAUAUGGGGAAAUUGGCACACCAAUACAUUGUUGGGGGGACAACAAAUCAGUACAACCACUUUGGAAAGCAGUAUGAAGAAUCCUCAAAACAUUUCAAACGGAACCACCAUAUGACCCAACCAUCCAACUCCUUGAUAUUUAUCCAAAAGAAAAAAAAAAUCAGCAUACUAUAGUGAUACAGCCACCUCAGUGUUUAUAGCAACACAAUUCACAAUAGCCAAAUUAUGGAACCAGCCCAGAUGCCUCUCAAUAGAUGAAUGAAUCAAGAAAUAUUAUAAAUACACACACACACACACAUACACACACACAAUGGAAUGUAACUCAGCUAUAAAAAAGAAUGAAAUGAUGGAAUUUGCAGGUAAAUGGAUGGGAAUAGAGAGUAUCAUACUAAGUGAAAUAAGCCAGAUUCAGAAAAUCAAGAGUGGAAUGUUUUCUUUCAUUUGUGGAAGCUAGAGCAAAAUGAGGGAAAGAAAUGUGCUAGGGGCAGAGGUUUGGGAUAUCAAAUAUACAGGGAAGAGCAGUAGAAUAGAAGGAGAUCAAGAGGGAGGGAAGAAGGAUGUAAAAAGGGAGGAAAUAUGGAACAAAUUUUUAAAAAUCAUGUUACAUGUAUAUUUAUGUACCACAUGGAAUUUCACUUUUAUGUAUAUGUAUAAAGUACCAAUCAAAAAUAAACAAAUAAAGGAGCAAAGGAAGAUCAGUAGAGUAGGGGAAGGGAGGGAAAAAGUGGAAAACAGGAAUUGAAAUCAAAUUCUAUGCAUGUAUGAUUUUGUCAAAUGAGCCCAGCUACUAUAUAUAACUAUAAUGCUCUAAUAAAAUGAAAAACUGCUGUAACAGUUUUAUUUUAAUAUGCAUAAAAUACAAAGCUCUGGAAGUGAUAUUCAUUGCUAUUGUAUAAACAUAGGAUGAAAGUUUUUUAAUAAAUGUUUUAUGAAAGUACUGUUUGGGGCUAUGCAAAUAAAACUGUUUGAAA